AAGCAGAGAGAGUCCGAGUGGAAUGUACUCAGACGGUGAAGACAUACAGACCGCAGAAUCAAAAGCAUGAAUGCUGUAAAUGCUGUGCAUCUGUUCAUUGUGGUUUGGACCUUCACUGCUGUCUGUCAAGCUAAUGAUGAUGGCUGCAGUGUAAAGUGUCAAAAUGUGACUGGAUUUGUGGGGAAUGAAGCAACUUUCAAAUGCAGCGUCUCAUUGCAACGCACUGAAUGCUGCAUUAAACUGUAUAAGUUUCAAUACCCUAAGGGCUAUGAUGAGUCUGCAAUCUGUAAAGAAGGGAAUCUUGUGAACUACUGUGAUCACAGUUACAGCUUCACAUGCCACUACACUCCAACUAUAGCAAUGACUGAAAAAUUCAGAUUCUUUGUGCAAACAUCAUGUGGAGUAAAAACAGCAGAAUUCACUGU
Molecule: long non-coding RNA, 425 nt
Organism: Labeo rohita (rohu)
Lineage: Eukaryota; Metazoa; Chordata; Actinopteri; Cypriniformes; Cyprinidae
Exons: 3
Source: RefSeq, a predicted model, not a curated record